GAUCUGGGUUUGCCCUAAUAAUCCCACAUCGGAUGAAAAAAUAAGAGUUUGGGUUGGUUGUUUGGGUUAAGUAUUUUGGGCCGGUUUUUGAGUGGAUUGAAUCGAUACAAUUGGUAUCAGAGUUGAAUACCAGCCAGAAGUGUGAGAGCUAAAUGCUAUGCAGAGCAAGGUGUUAUACCAACGAAUUUGAGUGGAGCCACCUCUUGAACCAGUAGGAACCACUUCUAGAAUCUCAUAUUGGAGCCACCUCUUGAAUCAGUAGGAGUCACUUCUAGAAUCUCAUAUUACAUGAUAAUUCUAGUCUAUAUAUCUUAAAGAGUAGAAGCCAGAUCUAGAAUCUCACAUUGCCUAAUAAUUCUGAUCUAUAUAUAUGUAAUCUGGGUUACAAUUGGUAUCAGAGUUGAAUACCAGCCGGAAGUGUGAGAGCUAAAUGCUAUGUGGAGCAAAGUGCUAUACCAACGAAUUUGAUUCAAGUCACCUCUUAAAGAGUAGGAGCUAGCUCUAGAAUCUCACAUUGUCUAAUACUUUUGAUCUAUAUGUCUGUGAUAUGGGUUUGGACCUAAUGAGGAGAUUAAGAUCUAAACGGGGGGGGACUCUGUAAUAACCUAAUAGUCCCACAUUGGAUAAAAAAAUAAUUCCGAUUGGAUUAGAUGAGGCCUUGCACGUUAAUAAUAAUAAUCGACUUUUAAGUAUUUUGGGCCGGUGAUUUAGGCCCAACGAGUUAUUAUUGUUAACGGAUUGAGGAUCAUUACAAUUAUAUAUGAAAAUUAAUUUGAUUCUAGUUGAGUUAUUAUGUUAUUGUUAGUGGGUUGGGUCCUUACAAGAAUUUAGUGAAAACUUUUGUAAUCAUUUUUUUUGUCUAUUUUCUCUCUAGUUCUGUGGGCUUACAUAUUUGCUAAUCUAGUAGAUAUGCGAGAUCUGUUACGCAUCGGGAUCCAACCCACUAGCAAUAAUAACUCAUUUGGAUCCAAACUACUGGCCCAAAAUACUUAAGUCCGGAUAUUAUUACUAGCAUGUAAUGCUUCACAAAAUCUAAUCAGAAUCAUUUUUCCAUUCGACGUGAGACUAUUGGGACAUUACAGUUAGUAUAUAUUCUGAAAUGAAAUUAUAAUCAUUAAUAAAUUCAAAAUAUUUCAUAAUUGAAAACUUAUCUGUGCCUUACUUUUUAAUAUUAUG
This 1176-nucleotide long non-coding RNA is filed under the name Ananas comosus (pineapple). Its description in RNAcentral is "long non-coding RNA (ACOM_LNC011848)". Lineage: Eukaryota; Viridiplantae; Streptophyta; Magnoliopsida; Poales; Bromeliaceae. The record is from RNAcentral.